UACGUAGGGUGCGAGCGUUAAUCGGAAUUACUGGGCGUAAAGCGUGCGCAGGCGGUUUUGUAAGUCUGUCGUGAAAGCCCCGGGCUCAACCUGGGAAUUGCGAUGGAGACUGCAAGGCUUGAAUCUGGCAGAGGGGGGUAGAAUUCCACGUGUAGCAGUGAAAUGCGUAGAGAUGUGGAGGAACACCGAUGGCGAAGGCAGCCUCCUGGGCCAGCACUGACGCUCAUGCACGAAAGCGUGGGGAGCAAACAGG
RNAcentral lists this ribosomal RNA (253 nucleotides) under uncultured bacterium. Its description in RNAcentral is "partial 16S ribosomal RNA". It matches the Rfam family "Bacterial small subunit ribosomal RNA", at positions 524 to 776 of the family's 1533-position model. The record is from RNAcentral.